Molecule: ribosomal RNA, 253 nt
Filed under: uncultured bacterium
Lineage: Bacteria
Description: partial 16S ribosomal RNA
Rfam family: Bacterial small subunit ribosomal RNA
Source: RNAcentral
UACAGAGGGGGCAAGCGUUGUUCGGAAUUACUGGGCGUAAAGGGCGCGUAGGUGGCCUUCUAAGUUGAACGUGAAAUCCCUGGGCUCAACCCAGGAACUGCGUCCAAGACUGGGAGGCUUGAAUUCGGGAGAGGAAUGCGGAAUUCCAGGUGUAGCGGUGAAAUGCGUAGAUAUCUGGAGGAACACCAGAGGCGAAGGCGGCUACCUGGACAAUAGCUGACGCUCAGGCACGAAAGCGUGGGGAGCAAAAGGG